AGGUGUUGAGUAGCGUGGCGGACGGACGAGUAACACGUAAUCAAGCUGCCUGCGAGACGGGGAUAACCUCGGGAAACCGAGGCUAAGACCCGAUGGUCUGCCGGGACCGCAUGGUUUUGGCAGUAAAUGGGCGGGAUCCUUCGGGAUCGCCUGCUCGCAGAGGUGAUUGCGGCCCAUCAGCUAGUUGGUAGGGUAACGGCCUACCAAGGCAACGACGGGUAGCCGGCCUAAGAGGGUGGUCGGCCGCACUGGGACUGAGACACUGCCCAGACUCCUACGGGAGGCUGCGGUCGAGAAUCUUCCGCAAUGGGCGAAAGCCUGACGGAGCGACGCCGCGUGGAGGACGAAGGCCUUCGGGUUGUAAACUCCUGUCACGAGUUAAGAAGGCGCAUGUGCGAACAGCAUAGGCGUUUGACGUAAGCUCGAGAGGAAGCACUGGCUAACUCUGUGCCAGCAGCCGCGGUAAUACAGAGAGUGCAAACGUUGUUCGGAAUUACUGGGCUUAAAGCGCGCGUAGGCGGCAUUGUAAGUGUCUGGUGAAAUCCCACGGCUCACCCGUGGAACUGCCGGGCAUACUGCGGUGCUAGAGUGUGGUAGGGGAGAGCGGAACUCCUGGUGGAGCGGUGAAAUGCGUAGAUAUCAGGAGGAACACCGGUGGCGAAGGCGGCUCUCUGGUCCAUAACUGACGCUGAGGUGCGAAAGCUAGGGGAGCAAACGGGAUUAGAUACCCCGGUAGUCCUAGCUGUAAACGAUGGGCACUAGCUUGGGGUCUCCCUGUGUGAUCCCAGGUGAAGCAAAAGUGAUAAGUGCCCCGCCUGGGGAGUAUGGUCGCAAGGCUGAAACUCAAAGGAAUUGACGG
Molecule: ribosomal RNA, 859 nt
Filed under: uncultured bacterium
Lineage: Bacteria
Description: bacterial SSU rRNA
Rfam family: Bacterial small subunit ribosomal RNA
Source: RNAcentral